This 289-nucleotide long non-coding RNA is filed under the name Nicotiana benthamiana. RNAcentral's name for it is "long non-coding RNA (NBEN_LNC017776)". The record is from RNAcentral. Lineage: Eukaryota; Viridiplantae; Streptophyta; Magnoliopsida; Solanales; Solanaceae.
AUGCCAGGCCAAAGCGCCAUUGACAUCAUACCAAAAAAUUCACUGUUCAGGUUGGGGCCAGGCGCCAAGCGAGACGAUGAAGCCCGGAUUUUGUUGUAAUUCGGCUGGAAGUUGGAGAUUUCGACCCCAUAUGUCCCCAACAUGUAUGAAAAGGGAUCUAAACUUAUUUUUGAGGGGAUAGAACAUGAUUUGGAGAAGGGAAAAUACACCAUGCUUGGAGGAGGCAUCUAACUAGUUUUCUUCUUUUAUCUUCGUUUAAUUUCAUUCUUUAUUAGUUUUAUAGUUGUGG